Molecule: long non-coding RNA, 397 nt
Organism: Fundulus heteroclitus (mummichog)
Lineage: Eukaryota; Metazoa; Chordata; Actinopteri; Cyprinodontiformes; Fundulidae
Exons: 2
Source: RefSeq, a predicted model, not a curated record
GUCAUGUUUUGAUUCAUCCGAAUCCCUGCCGCUCAGAUUUUGUUCUGGCAUCUCCACUCAUACUCCCUUGGUGGUACCAAGCCGGGCGUGAGAACCCCCUCCCUGGAUUUACCUGGUUCGUCUGGACACACUCCGGUUCUUCCAGCUGUUCUUCCUGCCUGCCGCCACAGUUGUGCUGUUCUGGCCCCCCGCCUGUAUUACAUCUGCCAGCCCUCCUGUCACCCAGCCAACAUCUUCCAUCAGAGAGUUAUGGUCACAUGGUACCUUUUUCACUCAUCCCCCCCGGACAGGUCUCCCCAACCAAACGUCGUUCCUGCUGUGACGUUCAGACCUCGCCUGUCGCACACAGCGUGUGCUUUCCCUUUGUUGAGCCUGAAAAUAAACAUCCUAAAAACUG